Myotis myotis is the source of this 485-nucleotide long non-coding RNA. RefSeq lists it as uncharacterized. Lineage: Eukaryota; Metazoa; Chordata; Mammalia; Chiroptera; Vespertilionidae. The record is from RefSeq and is a predicted model, not a curated record. The transcript has 4 exons.
GUUUGAAGUCAGUUUGUGAUUCCUGCCCUCUGUGGCUCUACUAAGUUUCCUGCAGAAGUCAAGCCUGUUUGCAAGGAGCCCAAGGCAAUAAGAUCCUCCAGAGGCUGGACGCCAAUAGCCUCCCCCAGCCUGGAGGAAAGAGCCCGGCCUUGGAGACAGAUUGACCCUGGUUCAAAGCCUGCAGCUGUGAGAUCAUGGAAAAGUCACAUCAUGAGGUUGCUAAGGGAGUGAUGGGGCCCAUUUGGGCUCGCCCUCUUCUCAAGGUGGACCUGCCAGUGCCAAAUGCAUACCAUUGAUUUUUGUCUUCUUCCACCUCAGCUUCAAGGAUGCAGUCUUCUGGAAAGUGAGUGAGGGGUAGAGGUCUUUCCAGGCUGGAAGAAGAAGAAUCAGUCAAAUCCUUCGAAGCAGACUUGCUGGUUUGAAGCUCUAGAUCAAGCAUGUAAAACUCAAAGGCUAACAAGCCAAAUAAACAAGGUUUAAAUUUG